UCAAGCUAGUAAGGGCGUACGACGGAUGCCUUGGCACAGACAGGCGAAGAAGGACGUGGCAAGCUGCGAAAAGCUCCGGGGAGCCGCAAACGGGCUUUGAUCCGGAGAUUUCCGAAUGGGGCAACCCUCCCAGGGUCAUGACUGGGAAUCCCGCGCUGAACACAUAGGCGCGGAGAAGCGAAACCGGGGGAACUGAAACAUCUAAGUACCUCGAGGAAAAGAAAAGGCAUCUUAUUCCCCAGUAGCGGUGAGCGAAAAGGAAGCCUAAACCAGCCUUAUGCAAGCGGAUCGGCGUUGUAAGGGUGGGGUUGUGGGGCCCCGCAGGACGGGCGAUUCACCGUCCGGGGAGUUAACAAGUCGGUGGUUAGGAGAAGCGUUCUGGAGAAAGUUCCCACCAGGGGUGACAGUCCGUAUCCGAAAACCAACCGGCCUCCCGUGGGAGUCCCCAAGUACCGCCAGACACGUGGGAACCUGGUGGGAAUCCGGGAAGUCCACUUCCCAAGGCUAAAUACUCGUCUGUGACCGAUAGUGAACCAGUACCGUGAGGGAAAGGUGAAAAGCACCCCAAAGGGCGGUGAAAUAGUCUCCUGAAAUCGUACGCCUACAGCUUCGCAGAAAGGGAGGUUUCCGUCUUUCGGGACGGAACGCCUGAUCGCAUGCCUUUUGCAUAAUGAACCGGCGAGUUACGUUGCAGGGCGAGGUUAAGGAACAGGAGUUCCGAAGCCGCAGCGAAAGCGAGUCUGAACGGGGCGUUUAGUCCUGUGACGUAGACCCGAAACUGUAGCGAUCUAUCCAUGGCCAGGGUAAAGGCGAGGUAACACUCGCUGGCGGCCCGAACCGGUGUCGGUUGAAAACGGCUCGGAUGCUUCCCGUGGAUAGGAGCGAAAGACUAAACAAGCUCAGAGAUAAGCUGGUUCUCCCGAAAUUGCUUUAGGGCGAGCCUCUGGUCAAUGUCUGGAGGAGGUAGAGCACUGAAUGGACUAGGGGCACAAAGCCUACCGAACCCAAUUAAACUCGAAUGCCUCGCAGAUGUAUCAGGGAGUGAGACAGUGGGGGAUAACUUUCAUUGUCAAAAGGGAAACAGCCCAGACCGUCGGCUAAGGUCCCCAAGUGGACGCUAAGUGGAAAAGGUGGUUGGGACAGCUAGACAGCCAGGAUGUUGGCUUAGAAGCAGCCAUUCAUUUAAAGAGUGCGUAAUAGCUCACUGGUCAAUUGUUCCAGCGCCGACAAUGUAACGAAACCAAGCGUCCCGCCAGAAACCGCGGGAUCCGCCUUCGGGUGGAUCGGUAGGGGAGCGUUCCGCGCGGAGUGAAGGUCGACCGUGAGGACGGCUGGACCACGCGGAAGUGAUUAUGCCGGUAUUAGUAACGAAAAGUACCAGCAUGUAGUACACGCCGAAAAUCUCAGGUUUCCUGGGUAAAGUUAUUCUUCCCAGGGUGAGUCGGUCCCUAAGCCGAGGCCGAGAGGCGUAGGUGAUGGGAAACAGGUUAAUAUUCCUGUACCACCUUAGCGCGUUCGAGCGAUGGGGGGACGCAGGAGGGUAGGCCAGCCUGGUAUUGGUAUCCAGGUUUAAGCCGGUAGGAGGACCCCUUAGACAAAUCCGGGGGUCAUCAACUCCGGAGAGGCGAAUAGAGGCCGUAAGGCCGGAACUGGAUGAUCCACACCGCCGAGAAAAGCCCUAGCAAGCGCACGGGUGACCGUACCGCAAACCGACACAGGUAGAUGAGGAGAGAAUCCUAAGGCGCUCGAGAGAACACUCGUUGAAGGCUCCGGCAAUCUCGCCCCGUAACUCCGGAAGAAGGGCGCCCGGACGGGUGAAGGGACUCGCUCCCUCAGCCUGCCCGAGCCGCAGCAGAAAAGGCGCAGGCGACUGUUUAGCAAAAACACAGGGCUCUGCAAAGUCGCAAGACGACGUAUAGGGCCUGACACCUGCCCGGUGCCGGAAGGUUAAGAGGUGGGGUUAGUCGCAAGACGAAGCUCUAAAUCGAAGCCCCGGUAAACGGCGGCCGUAACUAUAACGGUCCUAAGGUAGCGAAUUCCUUGUCGGUAAAGUUCCGACCCGCACGAAUGGUGUAACGAUCUGCGCGCUGUCUCAACGAGUGACUCGGUGAAGUUGUAAUCCCGGUGAAGAUGCCGGGUACCCGCGACUAGACGGAAAGACCCCGUGAACCUUUACUACAUCCUGAUAUUGGGUUUCGAUGCGUUUUGUAGAGGAUAGGUGGGAGGCGAUGAACCGUGGGCGCCAGCCUGCGGGGAGCCAACCUUGGAAUACCACCCUGAACGUGUUGGAAUCCUAACUCAGCGCCGUGAUCCGGCGCGAAGACAGUGUCAGGUGGGUAGUUUGACUGGGGCGGUCGCCUCCUAAAAGGUAACGGAGGCGCCCAAAGGUUCCCUCAGCACGGUUGGUAAUCGUGCGGCGAGUGUAAAGGCACAAGGGAGCUUGACUGCGAGACACACAAGUCGAGCAGAUGCGAAAGCAGGGCUUAGUGAUCCAGCGGUCCUUCGUGGACGGGCCGUUGCUCAACGGAUAAAAGGUACUCCGGGGAUAACAGGCUUAUCCUCCCCAAGAGCUCACAUCGACGGGAGGGUUUGGCACCUCGAUGUCGGCUCAUCGCAUCCUGGGGCUGGAGAAGGUCCCAAGGGUUCGGCUGUUCGCCGAUUAAAGCGGUACGUGAGCUGGGUUCAGAACGUCGUGAGACAGUUCGGUCCCUAUCUGUCGUGGGCGGAGGAAAUUUGAGGGGAGCUGCUUCCAGUACGAGAGGACCGAAGCGGAGCAUCCAACGGUGUACCAGCUGUUCCCGCCAGGGGCAUUGCUGGGUAUCCGUGAUGCGAUAGGAUAACCGCUGAAAGCAUCUAAGCGGGAAACCUUCCUCAAGAUGAGAUUUCCCUCCAGAUUCGUCUGGACUGAAGGGCCCUGGAAGACCACCAGGUUGAUAGGCCGGAGGUGGAAGUGCGGCAACGUAUGCAGCUGACCGGUACUAAUCGCCCGUGCGGCUUGA
RNAcentral lists this ribosomal RNA (2999 nucleotides) under bacterium. RNAcentral describes it as "23S ribosomal RNA". It matches the Rfam family "Bacterial large subunit ribosomal RNA". The record is from RNAcentral.